RNAcentral lists this ribosomal RNA (2894 nucleotides) under Escherichia coli. Its description in RNAcentral is "bacterial LSU rRNA". It matches the Rfam family "Bacterial large subunit ribosomal RNA". Lineage: Bacteria; Pseudomonadati; Pseudomonadota; Gammaproteobacteria; Enterobacterales; Enterobacteriaceae. The record is from RNAcentral.
ACUAAGCGUACACGGUGGAUGCCCUGGCAGUCAGAGGCGAUGAAGGACGUGCUAAUCUGCGAUAAGCGUCGGUAAGGUGAUAUGAACCGUUAUAACCGGCGAUUUCCGAAUGGGGAAACCCAGUGUGUUUCGACACACUAUCAUUAACUGAAUCCAUAGGUUAAUGAGGCGAACCGGGGGAACUGAAACAUCUAAGUACCCCGAGGAAAAGAAAUCAACCGAGAUUCCCCCAGUAGCGGCGAGCGAACGGGGAGGAGCCCAGAGCCUGAAUCAGUGUGUGUGUUAGUGGAAGCGUCUGGAAAGGCGCGCGAUACAGGGUGACAGCCCCGUACACAAAAAUGCACAUACUGUGAGCUCGAUGAGUAGGGCGGGACACGUGGUAUCCUGUCUGAAUAUGGGGGGACCAUCCUCCAAGGCUAAAUACUCCUGACUGACCGAUAGUGAACCAGUACCGUGAGGGAAAGGCGAAAAGAACCCCGGCGAGGGGAGUGAAAAAGAACCUGAAACCGUGUACGUACAAGCAGUGGGAGCCUCUUUAUGGGGUGACUGCGUACCUUUUGUAUAAUGGGUCAGCGACUUAUAUUCUGUAGCAAGGUUAACCGAAUAGGGGAGCCGAAGGGAAACCGAGUCUUAACUGGGCGUUAAGUUGCAGGGUAUAGACCCGAAACCCGGUGAUCUAGCCAUGGGCAGGUUGAAGGUUGGGUAACACUAACUGGAGGACCGAACCGACUAAUGUUGAAAAAUUAGCGGAUGACUUGUGGCUGGGGGUGAAAGGCCAAUCAAACCGGGAGAUAGCUGGUUCUCCCCGAAAGCUAUUUAGGUAGCGCCUCGUGAAUUCAUCUCCGGGGGUAGAGCACUGUUUCGGCAAGGGGGUCAUCCCGACUUACCAACCCGAUGCAAACUGCGAAUACCGGAGAAUGUUAUCACGGGAGACACACGGCGGGUGCUAACGUCCGUCGUGAAGAGGGAAACAACCCAGACCGCCAGCUAAGGUCCCAAAGUCAUGGUUAAGUGGGAAACGAUGUGGGAAGGCCCAGACAGCCAGGAUGUUGGCUUAGAAGCAGCCAUCAUUUAAAGAAAGCGUAAUAGCUCACUGGUCGAGUCGGCCUGCGCGGAAGAUGUAACGGGGCUAAACCAUGCACCGAAGCUGCGGCAGCGACGCUUAUGCGUUGUUGGGUAGGGGAGCGUUCUGUAAGCCUGCGAAGGUGUGCUGUGAGGCAUGCUGGAGGUAUCAGAAGUGCGAAUGCUGACAUAAGUAACGAUAAAGCGGGUGAAAAGCCCGCUCGCCGGAAGACCAAGGGUUCCUGUCCAACGUUAAUCGGGGCAGGGUGAGUCGACCCCUAAGGCGAGGCCGAAAGGCGUAGUCGAUGGGAAACAGGUUAAUAUUCCUGUACUUGGUGUUACUGCGAAGGGGGGACGGAGAAGGCUAUGUUGGCCGGGCGACGGUUGUCCCGGUUUAAGCGUGUAGGCUGGUUUUCCAGGCAAAUCCGGAAAAUCAAGGCUGAGGCGUGAUGACGAGGCACUACGGUGCUGAAGCAACAAAUGCCCUGCUUCCAGGAAAAGCCUCUAAGCAUCAGGUAACAUCAAAUCGUACCCCAAACCGACACAGGUGGUCAGGUAGAGAAUACCAAGGCGCUUGAGAGAACUCGGGUGAAGGAACUAGGCAAAAUGGUGCCGUAACUUCGGGAGAAGGCACGCUGAUAUGUAGGUGAAGCGACUUGCUCGUGGAGCUGAAAUCAGUCGAAGAUACCAGCUGGCUGCAACUGUUUAUUAAAAACACAGCACUGUGCAAACACGAAAGUGGACGUAUACGGUGUGACGCCUGCCCGGUGCCGGAAGGUUAAUUGAUGGGGUUAGCGGUAACGCGAAGCUCUUGAUCGAAGCCCCGGUAAACGGCGGCCGUAACUAUAACGGUCCUAAGGUAGCGAAAUUCCUUGUCGGGUAAGUUCCGACCUGCACGAAUGGCGUAAUGAUGGCCAGGCUGUCUCCACCCGAGACUCAGUGAAAUUGAACUCGCUGUGAAGAUGCAGUGUACCCGCGGCAAGACGGAAAGACCCCGUGAACCUUUACUAUAGCUUGACACUGAACAUUGAGCCUUGAUGUGUAGGAUAGGUGGGAGGCUUUGAAGUGUGGACGCCAGUCUGCAUGGAGCCGGCCUUGAAAUACCACCCUUUAAUGUUUGAUGUUCUAACGUUGGCCCCUGAUCGGGGUUGCGGACAGUGUCUGGUGGGUAGUUUGACUGGGGCGGUCUCCUCCUAAAGAGUAACGGAGGAGCACGAAGGUUGGCUAAUCCUGGUCGGACAUCAGGAGGUUAGUGCAAUGGCAUAAGCCAGCUUGACUGCGAGCGUGACGGCGCGAGCAGGUGCGAAAGCAGGUCAUAGUGAUCCGGUGGUUCUGAAUGGAAGGGCCAUCGCUCAACGGAUAAAAGGUACUCCGGGGAUAACAGGCUGAUACCGCCCAAGAGUUCAUAUCGACGGCGGUGUUUGGCACCUCGAUGUCGGCUCAUCACAUCCUGGGGCUGAAGUAGGUCCCAAGGGUAUGGCUGUUCGCCAUUUAAAGUGGUACGCGAGCUGGGUUUAGAACGUCGUGAGACAGUUCGGUCCCUAUCUGCCGUGGGCGCUGGAGAACUGAGGGGGGCUGCUCCUAGUACGAGAGGACCGGAGUGGACGCAUCACUGGUGUUCGGGUUGUCAUGCCAAUGGCACUGCCCGGUAGCUAAAUGCGGAAGAGAUAAGUGCUGAAAGCAUCUAAGCACGAAACUUGCCCCGAGAUGAGUUCUCCCUGAGACUUUAAGUCUCCUGAAGGAACGUUGAAGACGACGACGUUGAUAGGCCGGGUGUGUAAGCGCAGCGAUGCGUUGAGCUAACCGGUACUAAUGAACCGUGAGGCUUAACC